CUUGGUGAAUGGCUCUCCGGUAGCCGUACAAGAGGUUAGGAGGAAGCAGCUUCACCGUGUUCCAGACAGGAUUUUAAGAGUAGUCUGAGUCCUCGAAGGCGGCAGCAUGGAUGAAAGAUGGGCGAGGAAGAAAGAGGAUGCGGCGCUCACAAGACUGGAUGACGGCCACCCUCGUUCUAAUGGCAUCGUCGCCGACUUGACAUCUCGUCUCGAUCCAGAAGGCUUCAAAGGAUUUCUUCGCUUUCUAGUUUUAUGUUUUCCAAUUUAAGAGAGGAAACCACUGUUAUAUAUGCAGUGCCUGACCAGUGCAACGCUUUCUUCAUGUAAUGAACUUCAUAAUUCAACAGCAACGAACAACUUCAUUUCAUUUUCAUCUGGUUGACAUAUACUUCAUCCAA
Syzygium oleosum is the source of this 398-nucleotide long non-coding RNA. RefSeq lists it as uncharacterized. The record is from RefSeq and is a predicted model, not a curated record. Lineage: Eukaryota; Viridiplantae; Streptophyta; Magnoliopsida; Myrtales; Myrtaceae. The transcript is spliced from 2 exons.